GACCCACUUUCAAGAACAAGUUUUAGUGUGGUGAAAACUGACAGGUAGCUACUCCCGAGGCUUCGUGAUCAUAUUGGCACAGUGACAGAACCUGCCUGACUUCCUGCUUUCCCGAGGCCUGCAGGGCUCUGUGCUAAGCUGAAGACCCAGGGCACAGUGGAGGAGGCCCAUGUUCCUGCCAGCUCCCAGCUGAGAAGCCAUUUCCAAGGAACCUACAACGACUAACAGUAAGCCCCGUGGGUUUCCCAUCACCGAGUCACCCCACAG
Molecule: long non-coding RNA, 267 nt
Organism: Condylura cristata (star-nosed mole)
Lineage: Eukaryota; Metazoa; Chordata; Mammalia; Eulipotyphla; Talpidae
Exons: 3
Source: RefSeq, a predicted model, not a curated record